UUCGGGGGCAGAGUGACAGGUGGUGCAUGGUUGUCGUCAGCUCNUGUCGUGAGAUGUUGGGUUAAGUCCCGCAACUAGCGCAACCCUUGAUCUUAGUUGCCAGCAUUCAGUUGGGCACUCUAAGGUGACUGCCGG
This 135-nucleotide ribosomal RNA is filed under the name uncultured Rhizobium sp. RNAcentral describes it as "partial 16S ribosomal RNA". It matches the Rfam family "Bacterial small subunit ribosomal RNA", at positions 1019 to 1155 of the family's 1533-position model. Lineage: Bacteria; Pseudomonadati; Pseudomonadota; Alphaproteobacteria; Hyphomicrobiales; Rhizobiaceae. The record is from RNAcentral.